RNAcentral lists this ribosomal RNA (512 nucleotides) under uncultured bacterium. RNAcentral's name for it is "bacterial SSU rRNA". It matches the Rfam family "Bacterial small subunit ribosomal RNA", at positions 28 to 526 of the family's 1533-position model. The record is from RNAcentral.
GACGAACGCUGGCGGCGUGCCUAACACAUGCAAGUGGAGCGACGAACCAGGGCUUGCCCUGGAGCAAAGCCGCGAACGGGUGAGUAACACGUGAGUAACCUGCCCCGAAGAUUGGGACAACCCGAGGAAACUCGGGCUAAUACCGAAUGAAUUCCCUGGACUCAAGUCCAGUGAGAAAAGGAAGCUUCGGCCUCCGCUUCGGGAGGGGCUCGCGGCCCAUUAGCUAGUUGGUGAGGUAACGGCUCACAAAGGCAACGAUGGGUAGCUGGUCUGAGAGGACGAUCAGCCACACUGGGACUGAGACACGGCCCAGACUCCUACGGGAGGCAGCAGUGGGGAAUCUUGCGCAAUGCGCGAAAGCGUGACGCAGCAACGCCGCGUGGGGGAAGAAGGCCUUCGGGUUGUAAACCCCUUUCAGGAGGGACGAAGGUGCGACUGUGAAUAGCAGUUCGUACUGACGGUACCUCCAGAAGAAGCCCCGGCUAACUACGUGCCAGCCGCCGCCGUAAUAC